ACCCGCCUACAUGAAGUCGGAAUUGCUAGUAAUCGCGGAUCAGCAUGCCGCGGUGAAUACGUUCCCGGGCCUUGUACACACCGCCCGUCAAGCCAUGGGAGCCGGGGGCACUUGAAGUACGCCGCCGCGAGGAGCGUCCUAGAGUGAAACUGGUGACUGGGGCUAAGUCGUAACAAGGUAAC
This 182-nucleotide ribosomal RNA is filed under the name uncultured bacterium. RNAcentral describes it as "partial 16S ribosomal RNA". It matches the Rfam family "Bacterial small subunit ribosomal RNA", at positions 1310 to 1500 of the family's 1533-position model. The record is from RNAcentral.